This 257-nucleotide ribosomal RNA is filed under the name uncultured bacterium. RNAcentral's name for it is "partial 16S ribosomal RNA". It matches the Rfam family "Bacterial small subunit ribosomal RNA", at positions 524 to 777 of the family's 1533-position model. The record is from RNAcentral.
UACGUAGGGGGCAAGCGUUAUCCGGAAUCAUUGGGCGUAAAGCGCGUGUAGGCGGUUCUGUAAGUCCGCUCUGAAAGCCCAGGGCUCAACCCUGGGAGGCGGGUGGAUACUACAGAACUGGAGUACGGAAGAGGAGAUUGGAAUUCCUGGUGUAGCGGUGAAAUGCGCAGAUAUCAGGAGAACACCAGCGGCGAAGGCAGCAGCUCUGGGCCGGUACUGACGCUGAGGAAGCGAAAGGCGUGGGGGAGCAAACAAGG